CGUUUCAUUUAUUUUUUUAAAAAUAAAAUUAGUUGGAAAUGUGAAUCUACUAGAAUUCAAAUUUGAAACUGCAGGUGCACUCUCAUUCAUCUUUUAAUUUCUUAAAAGUAAUUUGAUAUUUUAAUUUGGAUGUUAAAUUUUUUAAUAGUAGUUAUAUAGUUAUAUAGUUAUUCAAUUUAGUAAAUAAGUUUAAGAUAGUUUUCAAAUAGUUUUUUUCAAAAUUUUAUUUUAAAUUUUUUAAAAAUUAUAAAGUGUAAUGAAACUUUGGGAAAAAAAUGUUGUUGUUCGAGCCCAAUAGUGAGGAUCAGAUUGAUGAAGUAGCAUUUCUCUUUCCGAGCAUAGCAAUGUAAUUUAUUUUUUUUUUUAAAUUCAAUAAAAAUACAUAUAAUAUUCACUAUUAAAAAAAAAAAUUCUGCUAUGUAUCCACUAAGGCCGGCAAAUGAGCGAACCGGCUCGUGUUUGGCUUGCAUUUGGCUCGAUAUUUGGCUAGCUCGAGCUCGACUCGAAAUUAAAUGAGUCGAGCUUGAACAGAAAAUAAAACUUGAAAUAUAUUUGAAGCCGAACUUGAGUAUUACUGAGCACGCUCAAAUUGGGCUCGAAAAGUUUGAAUAUAUAUAUAGUUUCUGGACACUUUUAAUAGUUUAGAUCAAUUUUAACUGUUUCGAUCAUCGAUUUAGAAUUCCCAUUAUCUAAAACGACUUAAGAGGAUGAAGAUCUUUAUCCUCUUAAAAAGAAUAGUAAUUGAAUUCUAUAUAUAUAAUAUAAUAAUAUAUAAUAUGUAUAUUAAUUAUAUGUACAUAGAGUUUAGGUUAUUGGACAUAUAUUUGUUGGCCUACAAAGCCAAACUAGCAAAAUUCUAUUCUAAUUACUUUAUCUUUUUCUCUUUCACUUGCUAGCAGUGUCGUUUUUUCUAAAUUAUUUUUUUUUAAUAUUAUAAUACCGUAUUUGAUGUAUUUAUUUUAUUUGUUGAACUAUUAUAUAUAUUUUUGCAUCAAAUUUUAAAUAAUAUUUAUAAAAAUUAAAGUAUAAAUUGCAUGAUUUAAGAUUUCAAGUGGUUCAUUUUAGAUUCAAACUUGCUCCACUCGAAAUUAGGUUCGUUCGAACUCGGCUCCAAUUAAUUCUAAGCCAAACUUGAGCAUAAAUUAAAAUUAAAAUUAAUCUUAAAUUAAACUUGA
Molecule: long non-coding RNA, 1175 nt
Filed under: Ananas comosus (pineapple)
Lineage: Eukaryota; Viridiplantae; Streptophyta; Magnoliopsida; Poales; Bromeliaceae
Description: long non-coding RNA (ACOM_LNC025284)
Source: RNAcentral